UACGUAGGUGGCAAGCGUUGUCCGGAUUUACUGGGCGUAAAGAGUAUGUAGGCGGAUUUUUAAGUCAGAUGUGAAAUCCCCGGGCUUAACCUGGGAGCUGCAUUUGAAACUGGAAAUCUAGAGUGCGGGAGAGGAAAGUGGAAUUCCUAGUGUAGCGGUGAAAUGCGUAGAGAUUAGGAAGGACACCAGUGGCGAAGGCGACUUUCUGGACCGUAACUGACGCUGAGAUACGAAAGCGUGGGGAGCAAACAGG
RNAcentral lists this ribosomal RNA (253 nucleotides) under uncultured bacterium. RNAcentral describes it as "partial 16S ribosomal RNA". It matches the Rfam family "Bacterial small subunit ribosomal RNA", at positions 524 to 776 of the family's 1533-position model. The record is from RNAcentral.